RNAcentral lists this ribosomal RNA (497 nucleotides) under uncultured bacterium. RNAcentral describes it as "partial 16S ribosomal RNA". It matches the Rfam family "Bacterial small subunit ribosomal RNA", at positions 28 to 507 of the family's 1533-position model. The record is from RNAcentral.
GACGAACGCUGGCGGCGUGCCUAAUACAUGCAAGUAGAACGCUGAAGAGAGGGGCUUGCUCUUCUUGGAUGAGUUGCGAACGGGUGAGUAACGCGUAGGUAACCUGCCUUGUAGCGGGGGAUAACUAUUGGAAACGAUAGCUAAUACCGCAUAACAAUGGAUGACACAUGUCAUUUAUUUGAAAGGGGCAAUUGCUCCACUACAAGAUGGACCUGCGUUGUAUUAGCUAGUAGGUGAGGUAAUGGCUCACCUAGGCGACGAUACAUAGCCGACCUGAGAGGGUGAUCGGCCACACUGGGACUGAGACACGGCCCAGACUCCUACGGGAGGCAGCAGUAGGGAAUCUUCGGCAAUGGGGGCAACCCUGACCGAGCAACGCCGCGUGAGUGAAGAAGGUUUUCGGAUCGUAAAGCUCUGUUGUAAGUCAAGAGCGGGUGUGAGAGUGGAAAGUUCACACUGUGACGGUAGCUUACCAGAAAGGGACGGCUAACUACGUG